RNAcentral lists this ribosomal RNA (230 nucleotides) under uncultured bacterium. Its description in RNAcentral is "partial 16S ribosomal RNA". It matches the Rfam family "Bacterial small subunit ribosomal RNA", at positions 111 to 339 of the family's 1533-position model. The record is from RNAcentral.
UAACGCGUAGGUGAUCUACCUUUUAGUUGGGGAUAGCUCAUGGAAACAUGGGGUAAUACCGAAUAAUCUCUAUUAUUAUGUUGAUAGAGGAAAGGGGCGUUUGCCUCGCUGAAAGAUGAGCCUGCGUAUGAUUAGCUAGUUGGUAGGGUAAAGGCCUACCAAGGCGACGAUCAUUAGCCGGCCUGAGAGGGUGACCGGCCACAUUGGGACUGAGACACGGCCCAGACUCC